UACGAAGGGGGCUAGCGUUGCUCGGAAUUACUGGGCGUAAAGGGAGCGUAGGCGGAUAGUUUAGUCAGAGGUGAAAGCCCAGGGCUCAACCUUUGAAAGCCGGUGGAUACUGUGGGACUAGAGUACGGAAGAGGCGAGUGGAAUUCCUGGUGUAGCGGUGGAAUGCGCAGAUAUCCGGAGGAACACCGAUGGCGAAGGCAGCUCGCUGGGACGGUACUGACGCUGAGGCGCGAAAGCGUGGGGAGCGAACAGG
RNAcentral lists this ribosomal RNA (253 nucleotides) under uncultured bacterium. RNAcentral's name for it is "partial 16S ribosomal RNA". It matches the Rfam family "Bacterial small subunit ribosomal RNA", at positions 524 to 776 of the family's 1533-position model. The record is from RNAcentral.